Molecule: ribosomal RNA, 407 nt
Filed under: uncultured bacterium
Lineage: Bacteria
Description: partial 16S ribosomal RNA
Rfam family: Bacterial small subunit ribosomal RNA
Source: RNAcentral
GAUGAACGCUAGCUACAGGCUUAACACAUGCAAGUCGAGGGCCCGGCGCACGGGUGUGUCACGCGUCCCCCACCUACCCAUCACUGUGGGAUAACCUGCCGACAGGCAGUCUUAUCCCGCCUAGUAAUGGAUGGGGAUUCUGCUUAUUUGGUUGUUGGCGGGGUACCGGCCCACCCAGGCAACGAUCAGUAGGGGUUCUUGGAUGAAGGGCCCCCACGUUGGAAGUGAUACGCGGUCCAAACUCCUACGGGAGGCAGCAGUGAGGAAUAUUGGUUAAUGGGCGCGAGCCUGAACCAGCCAAGUAGCGUGCAGGAUGACGGCCUAUGGGUUUUAAACUGCUUUUGUAUGGGGAUAGGUACCAUACGAAUAAGGACCGGCUAAUUCCGUGCCAGCCGCCGCGGUAAUAC